Molecule: unclassified non-coding RNA, 330 nt
Filed under: soil metagenome
Description: partial contains 5.8S ribosomal RNA, internal transcribed spacer 2, and large subunit ribosomal RNA
Rfam family: 5.8S ribosomal RNA (bases 1-120)
Source: RNAcentral
GAUGAAGAACGUAGCGAAAUGCGAUAAGUAGUGUGAAUUGCAGAAUUCAGUGAAUCAUCGAAUCUUUGAACGCACAUUGCGCCCCUUGGUAUUCCGAGGGGCAUGCCUGUUCGAGCGUCAUUAUAACCCCUCAAGCUUAGCUUGGUGUUGGGGCCUGCUGUAAUAGAGCAGCCCUUAAAAUCAGUGGCGGUGCCAUUAGGCUCUAAGCGUAGUAAUUCUUCUCGCUAUAGGGUUCUGGUGGAUGCUUGCCAUUAACCUCUAAUUUUCUAUGGUUGACCUCGGAUCAGGUAGGGAUACCCGCUGAACUUAAGCAUAUCAAUAAGCGGAGGA